GACGUAGGGCGCAAGCGUUGUCCGGAUUUAUUGGGCGUAAAGAGCUCGUAGGCGGCUCGUUGCGUCGGCUGUGAAAACCCGCAGCUCAACUGUGGGCUUGCAGCCGAUACGGGCGGGCUGGAGUUCGGUAGGGGAGACUGGAAUUCCUGGUGUAGCGGUGAAAUGCGCAGAUAUCAGGAGGAACACCGGUGGCGAAGGCGGGUCUCUGGGCCGAUACUGACGCUGAGGCGCGAAAGCUAGGGGAGCAAACGGG
Molecule: ribosomal RNA, 253 nt
Filed under: uncultured bacterium
Lineage: Bacteria
Description: partial 16S ribosomal RNA
Rfam family: Bacterial small subunit ribosomal RNA
Source: RNAcentral